AUGCUUCACAGUGCCCAGACAGACUUGCCCAAGGCUACCUUUCUCAGGAUGUAUCCUGUCCUUAAGCGGCAAAGGACUGUAUUUUCCUCUUUUCUAUCUUUUAGGUUAGGGACCCUAAGCAUAGGCUGGGUGGGUCAGUUUCCUGUUGAUGACAUUUCUCCCUUCCUCUCCAGUCCCUCUUUUCCUCUUUAUGUUGACCCUCCUGAUGUUCCCUUUCACCAGAGGAGUCUCCUCGGAUACCAGGAGGUUCCCGUGGAUGAGCGCACCUAUUCAAGUCACCUUAGUUGGUUUUUGGUAAGUGGAAAUUACCUUUUUUAAAAAAUAAGUACUGUAUUUUAAUUGUACAAAGAUAUACUCA
RNAcentral lists this long non-coding RNA (358 nucleotides) under Nannospalax galili (Upper Galilee mountains blind mole rat). RNAcentral's name for it is "lncRNA (ENSNGAG00000024536.1)". The record is from RNAcentral. Lineage: Eukaryota; Metazoa; Chordata; Mammalia; Rodentia; Spalacidae.